Molecule: ribosomal RNA, 349 nt
Filed under: Oocyclus dinghu
Lineage: Eukaryota; Metazoa; Arthropoda; Insecta; Coleoptera; Hydrophilidae
Description: partial 12S ribosomal RNA
Source: RNAcentral
CAUAUUUUAGAGCCAAAAUCACAACUAAAAAAUAUAAAUUAUUACUUUCAAAUCCACCUUCAAAUAAAAAUUACAUUACAUAAUCCGUUUAAAUAAAUUUAUUGUAACCCAUUAUUUCUUGUUUAUAAACUGCACCUUGAUCUGAUUUUAAUUAAAAUUAUAAACCUUGAACAUUAAAUUCUUAUAAAAUAUUCUACUACGACGAUAUACAAAUUAAUCAAAACAAAUAAAUUUAAUCGUGGGUCAUCAAUUACAAAACAGGUUCCUCUGAAAAGACUAAAAUACCGCCAAAAUUUUUAAUUUUAAAGAUCAUAACUAUUAUUAAUUAGAUUUAAACAUUUACAUUCGA